AGCAGCCGCGGUAAUUCCAGCUCCAAUAGCGUAUAUUAAAGUUGUUGCAGUUAAAAGCUCGUAGUUGAAUUUCGGGAUCAAUAUAUCGGUCGUGCCUUGGUACGUACUGGUAUCAUUGGUUUCUCCUUUCUGACGAACCAUGAUGUCAUUAAUUUGGUGUUAUGGGAAGUUAGGACUGUUACUUUGAAAAAAGUUAGAGUGUUUAAAGCAGGCUUUGGCUUGAAUACAUUAGCAUGGAAUAAUGAAAUAGGACGUUCGAACCUAUUUUGUUGGUUUCUAGGAUCAACGUAAUGAUUAAUAGGGAUAGUUGGGGGCAUUAGUAUUCAAUUGUCAGAGGUGAAAUUCUUGGAUUUAUUGAAGACUAACUACUGCGAAAGCAUUUGCCAAGGAUGUUUUCAUUAAUCAAGAACGAAAGUUAGGGGAUCGAAGACGAUCAGAUACCGUCGUAGUCUUAACCAUAAACUAUGCCGACUAGGGAUCGGAUGAUGUUAAUUUUUUAAUGACUCAUUCGGCGCCUUAC
RNAcentral lists this unclassified non-coding RNA (520 nucleotides) under uncultured Glomus. RNAcentral's name for it is "SSU rRNA". It matches the Rfam family "Eukaryotic small subunit ribosomal RNA", at positions 569 to 1091 of the family's 1831-position model. Lineage: Eukaryota; Fungi; Glomeromycota; Glomeromycetes; Glomerales; Glomeraceae. The record is from RNAcentral.